Priapulus caudatus is the source of this 362-nucleotide long non-coding RNA. RefSeq lists it as uncharacterized. The transcript is spliced from 3 exons. The record is from RefSeq and is a predicted model, not a curated record. NCBI's taxonomy places the organism in Eukaryota, Metazoa, Priapulida, Priapulimorpha, Priapulimorphida, Priapulidae.
AAGCCAUGUUUACCUUGUUGCGAUACGACACUGUGAUAUUUGGUGUCGUGGUGUCGUUGAACGUAGCUCAGCGCGUGGGAGUAGUGUUGGUAGACGACAUACUGCUCUUUAAUUAUUAGUUACGCAAAUAACGCGAAAGAAGAUAGAAUCGAUCGGCAGGAUGACAGCACUGACGCAGGAUGAGAUUGUGGGCAGCACGCGCACGGUGGUGCAAGGCCUGGAUGCCCUGCGCAAUGAAACACAAUGUCAUCCUCACAGGCCUUAUGUCUUCACUGAAGGCCAUCAAGAAGGACAAAAGCUGAUUCAAACCUGAUGGAGGAGAAGACUUCUAUCCUGCAGAAGAACAUAGAGGAUGAUAGAAC